GAUUGACUGAUUGGUUACUUGAUCCAGCUUAGGAGAACUCAUUAGGCAGAGAUUUUUGUGAAUUUAUACCUCAGAAAUCACUAAAUAUCACACAGUAGAGCAUAAUUUAUUGUUUUAUUGUCUAAAGUUAGGUAGGUGAUGGAGAAAGUGUUAAUAAAGUUGAUUAAACUUUAAAAAGUACUGUGAUUUUUUUUUUAGAGAGUCAAUUAUUAAACAUUUGCCAGUACUCACUCCUGGCUUGGGGGAGAAUACUGUACUUAAAAUCAGACACACUUGGGCUUAAAUAUUGCUCUAAUCUCUUACUAAUUAAUUAUAUGACCCAAGCAAAUAAUUUUGCAUCAUUAAGUCUUAGUUUCUUCAUCUGUAAAUGGGGAAAACUAUAGUGACUACCUCACAGGAUUUCUGGGUAAAUCCUAAAGCUUUCUAUAAAUAAAUAUUAUUAUUAUUCUAUGGGGGAACUUAACACAUUCCUGUCCUUUUUUUGUAGGGCAUCUUUUAUCUUUUGUUGCUAGCUUAGUUUGUAAAACUUGAAUCUCUUUUUCAUUUCUUUUUUACUUAAUCUAACAAUAAUCAAGCAUCUCCAUUCUCCUUCUCCUUCUUUCCUAGGGUAGAUCAUAAGGUGGAAUGCUGGGGUGGUACCCUGGGUUGGAAGUUUGAAUACCUGAGCUCCAUUUCCAAUUCCAGUAUAGACAUUCUUAGGUGCCUGUGGGAAAACCAUAUCAUUGACCUUUCUGCAGUCUUUAGUUUAGGAGGCAGUGCAAACCUGGCAUGAAGCCCAUUGUAUAAUUGAAAAUCUAUUACCCUAAAAAAGAACUACAUUUCCUGGGAGCCCACUGACUUCCUGUCCUUACAUACUUCCUUUAUACAGGAGAUAUAGGGAGGAGAUAUGGAGGAUCCCGCACUCUUUUUGGAAUAAUAAAGUGGAGGAAUUCCAUGGAGACUGGAACAACCUCCAGGAAGUGAUGCAGAGCGAAAAAAGCAGAACCAGGAGAACAUUGUACACAGAGACUGAUACAUGGUGGUACAAUCGAAUGUAAU
Molecule: long non-coding RNA, 1038 nt
Filed under: Monodelphis domestica (gray short-tailed opossum)
Lineage: Eukaryota; Metazoa; Chordata; Mammalia; Didelphimorphia; Didelphidae
Description: lncRNA (ENSMODG00000047648.1)
Source: RNAcentral